GCAUAGCCGACCUGAGAGGGUGAUCGGCCACACUGGGACUGAGACACGGCCCAGACUCCUACGGGAGGCAGCAGUAGGGAAUCUUCCGCAAUGGACGAAAGUCUGACGGAGCAACGCCGCGUGUAUGAAGAAGGUUUUCGGAUCGUAAAGUACUGUUGUUAGAGAAGAACAAGGAUAAGAGUAACUGCUUGUCCCUUGACGGUAUCUAACCAGAAAGCCACGGCUAACUACGUGCCAGCAGCCGCGGUAAUACGUAGGUGGCAAGCGUUGUCCGGAUUUAUUGGGCGUAAAGCGCGCGCAGGCGGUCUUUUAAGUCUGAUGUGAAAGCCCCCGGCUUAACCGGGGAGGGUCAUUGGAAACUGGAAGACUGGAGUGCAGAAGAGGAGAGUGGAAUUCCACGUGUAGCGGUGAAAUGCGUAGAUAUGUGGAGGAACACCAGUGGCGAAGGCGACUCUCUGGUCUGUAACUGACGCUGAGGCGCGAAAGCGUGGGGA
Molecule: ribosomal RNA, 494 nt
Filed under: Listeria monocytogenes
Lineage: Bacteria; Bacillati; Bacillota; Bacilli; Caryophanales; Listeriaceae
Description: bacterial SSU rRNA
Rfam family: Bacterial small subunit ribosomal RNA
Source: RNAcentral